UUGCACGCUGGCGGCAUGCCUUACCCCUGCCAGUCGCACGGUAACAGGUUAAGCUGACGCGUGGCGAACGGGUGAGUAAUACAUCGGAACGUGCCCAGUAGUGGGGGAUAGCCCGGCGAAAGCCGGAUUAAUACCGCAUACGACCUAAGGGUGAAAGGGGGGGAUCGCAAGACCUCUCGCUAUUGGAGCGGCCGAUGUCAGAUUAGCUAGUUGGUGGGGUAAAAGCUCACCAAGGCGACGAUCUGUAGCUGGUCUGAGAGGACGACCAGCCACACUGGGACUGAGACACGGCCCAGACUCCUACGGGAGGCAGCAGUGGGGAAUUUUGGACAAUGGGCGCAAGCCUGAUCCAGCCAUGCCGCGUGCGGGAAGAAGGCCUUCGGGUUGUAAACCGCUUUUGUCAGGGAAGAAAUCCUUUGGGUUAAUACCUCGGGGGGAUGACGGUACCUGAAGAAUAAGCACCGGCUAACUACGUG
This 476-nucleotide ribosomal RNA is filed under the name uncultured bacterium. RNAcentral's name for it is "partial 16S ribosomal RNA". It matches the Rfam family "Bacterial small subunit ribosomal RNA", at positions 30 to 507 of the family's 1533-position model. The record is from RNAcentral.